Rhinolophus ferrumequinum (greater horseshoe bat) is the source of this 667-nucleotide long non-coding RNA. RefSeq lists it as uncharacterized. The transcript is spliced from 4 exons. The record is from RefSeq and is a predicted model, not a curated record. Lineage: Eukaryota; Metazoa; Chordata; Mammalia; Chiroptera; Rhinolophidae.
AGAGGUAAAAAACUCCUGGGAAACAACUUCCGGUUAUCACCUAAGAAGUAAACAAGUCCAGGGAAAAGAGGAUAAAAGUAGAAAUCCAGAGCAAUGCUGUGAGCAGUCUGACUGGGCACUUGGCUAAGACCCUCUGCAAGGCUCUGUGUGAGACAGUAUAUGACAGAGUCAUCUGUGAGUGGCAAGCUGCGAUACUCUGGGACUCCAAAGUUCUUCCUUGCAAAACCAGCUCGCCUCAGACCCGUCGUGGGCCCAGUCAUCUCUCCCGGACCAGGAACCUUCACCACCUCAGUUGACUCUGGGACUUGAACUUCUGGUUCACAGACGGCUCAGCAAUGGGACAGCACAGCUUUCAGGCCAGAGGACGGGGUCAUUCUCAAGGAACAAGGAUAUAAUCACCGUUGGAGGAGGGAGUACUUAUUGGACUUCCGGAGGACGUGUACAGUUACAGCUCCACAAAACCAACCAAAUCUCCCCAAACUUCUAAGUACCUGGAGAAGAGGAAGAGGGUGUUUAUGAUGAGUAUCAUGAUGGGGAUUACGAGGGUUAUGAGGUGAGCAAUAACAUUACAACUACUAAAGUACUGCACCCAACAGUAGUGCUACUUCGACAGCUAAGCCAUCCAUCCUCAAUCUAAUCUAUUGUCCUUUCCGCUUCUCGCCUAGCA